Molecule: ribosomal RNA, 466 nt
Filed under: uncultured bacterium
Lineage: Bacteria
Description: partial 16S ribosomal RNA
Rfam family: Bacterial small subunit ribosomal RNA
Source: RNAcentral
GACGAACGCUGGCGGCGCGCCUAACACAUGCAAGUCGAACGAGCGAGAGAGAGCUUGCUUUCUCGAGCGAGUGGCGAACGGGUGAGUAACGCGUGAGGAACCUGCCUCAAAGAGGGGGACAACAGUUGGAAACGACUGCUACUACCGCAUAAGCCCACGACCCGGCAUCGGGUAGAGGGAAAAGGAGCAAUCCGCUUUGAGAUGGCCUCGCGUCCGAUUAGCUAGUUGGUGAGGUAACGGCCCACCAAGGCGACGAUCGGUAGCCGGACUGAGAGGUUGAACGGCCACAGUGGGGCUGAGACACGGCCCAGACUCCUACGGGAGGCAGCAGUGGGGAAUAUUGCACAAUGGGGGAAACCCUGAUGCAGCGACGCCGCGUGGAGGAAGAAGGUCUUCGGAUUGUAAACUCCUGUUGUUGAGGAAGAUAAUGACGGUACUCAACAAGGAAGUGACGGCUAACUACGUG